RNAcentral lists this small nucleolar RNA (79 nucleotides) under Otolemur garnettii (small-eared galago). Lineage: Eukaryota; Metazoa; Chordata; Mammalia; Primates; Galagidae. The record is from RNAcentral.
AUGAGGCUAUACAGACAGUUGAAGGUUAAUUAGCAGUAUAACUAUAAAUAGUAAUGCUGCCAGUCUCCUUCAGACAAGA